This 241-nucleotide unclassified non-coding RNA is filed under the name Hevea brasiliensis (rubber tree). The record is from RNAcentral. Lineage: Eukaryota; Viridiplantae; Streptophyta; Magnoliopsida; Malpighiales; Euphorbiaceae.
AUAAACAAGAGAUAGUAAGAUUGCUCAAGGAAGAUGGUGAAGUUGUUGCAAUGACAGGAGAUGGAGUCAAUGAUGCACCUGCCUUGAAGUUGGCUGAUAUUGGGAUUGCGAUGGGGAUUGCUGGGACAGAGGUUGCAAAGGAAGCCUCCGACAUGGUUCUUGCAGAUGACAAUUUUAGUACCAUAGUCGCAGCUGUUGGUGAAGGCAGAUCGAUUUAUGACAAUAUGAAGGCCUUUAUCAG